UGCAGUCGAGCGGACCGACGGGAGCUUGCUCCCUUAGGUCAGCGGCGGACGGGUGAGUAACACGUGGGUAACCUGCCUGUAAGACUGGGAUAACUCCGGGAAACCGGGGCUAAUACCGGAUGCUUGAUUGAACCGCAUGGUUCAAUCAUAAAAGGUGGCUUUUAGCUACCACUUACAGAUGGACCCGCGGCGCAUUAGCUAGUUGGUGAGGUAACGGCUCACCAAGGCGACGAUGCGUAGCCGACCUGAGAGGGUGAUCGGCCACACUGGGACUGAGACACGGCCCAGACUCCUACGGGAGGCAGCAGUAGGGAAUCUUCCGCAAUGGACGAAAGUCUGACGGAGCAACCCCCCGUGAGUGAUGAAGGUUUUCGGAUCGUAAAACUCUGUUGUUAGGGAAGAACAAGUACCGUUUGAAUAGGGGGGUACCUUGACGGUACCUAACCAGAAAGCCACGGCUAACUACGUGCCAGCAGCCGCGGUAAUACGUAGGUGGCAAGCGUUGUCCGGAAUUAUUGGGCGUAAAGCGCGCGCAGGCGGUUUCUUAAGUCUGAUGUGAAAGCCCCCGGCUCAACCGGGGAGGGUCAUUGGAAACUGGGGAACUUGAGUGCAGAAGAGGAGAGUGGAAUUCCACGUGUAGCGGUGAAAUGCGUAGAGAUGUGGAGGAACACCAGUGGCGAAGGCGACUCUCUGGUCUGUAACUGACGCUGAGGCGCGAAAGCGUGGGGAGCGAACAGGAUUAGAUACCCUGGUAGUCCACGCCGUAAACGAUGAGUGCUAAGUGUUAGAGGGUUUCCGCCCUUUAGUGCUGCAGCAAACGCAUUAAGCACUCCGCCUGGGGAGUACGGUCGCAAGACUGAAACUCAAAGGAAUUGACGGGGGCCCGCACAAGCGGUGGAGCAUGUGGUUUAAUUCGAAGCAACGCGAAGAACCUUACCAGGUCUUGACAUCCUCUGACAACCCUAGAGAUAGGGCUUCCCCUUCGGGGGCAGAGUGACAGGUGGUGCAUGGUUGUCGUCAGCUCGUGUCGUGAGAUGUUGGGUUAAGUCCCGCAACGAGCGCAACCCUUGAUCUUAGUUGCCAGCAUUCAGUUGGGCACUCUAAGGUGACUGCCGGUGACAAACCGGAGGAAGGUGGGGA
This 1140-nucleotide ribosomal RNA is filed under the name Bacillus licheniformis. RNAcentral describes it as "bacterial SSU rRNA". It matches the Rfam family "Bacterial small subunit ribosomal RNA", at positions 56 to 1179 of the family's 1533-position model. The record is from RNAcentral. Lineage: Bacteria; Bacillati; Bacillota; Bacilli; Caryophanales; Bacillaceae.